GACGGAGUCUCGCUCUGUCGCCCAGACUGGAGUGCAGUGGCGCAAUCUCGGCUCACUGCAAGCUCUGUCUUCCGGGUUCAUGCCAUUCUCCUGCCUCAGCCUCCUGAGUAGCUGGGACUACAGGCGCCCGCCAUUACGCCCGGCUAAUUUUAUUUUAUUUUAUUUUUAGUAGAGACAGGGUUUCACUGUGUUAGCCAGGAUGGUCUGUGUCUCCUGACCUCGUGAUCCACCCGCCUCGGCCUCCCAAAGUGCUGGGAUUACAAAAUGCGUGAGCCACCACGCCCGGCUGAUGGUUUUAUUAAUAUAAGGGACUUUAACCCUUUGCUCAGGACUUCUACUUGCUGCUGCCAUGUGAAGAAGGACAUAUUUGCUUCCCCUUUCACCAUGAUUAAAAGCAAUUUUGUUAAUCACUUUAGCACCAAUUCUUGCAUCCCUGGCAAUACUCAGAACUGCUUCCAUCCAAGUCUUUGAUGUGGGAAAGAAACACACACACACUCUUUCGCAUGUAAUCUGAAAACAAUUCACCUCUUGCCAAUGAAUGCACAGCACUCCACUUUAAUAGAGAGCAAGUUCUGUGGAGGUUUCUAAUCCUUUCUGCCAAAGAAGAGAAGAGAGAGAAUCACUCAGGAUCCCAUCCAGAAUACAUUACCUUUAGUCAUCAUGUCUCCUGUGGCUCUUCUUGGCUGUGACAGUUUCUCAGCUUUCCCAGUUUUAAUGAACUUGCCAUUUUCAUCAGAUUGUACCAAGACCUACUAUCAAUAUGACUUAUGACUAGUGGUGCUGACCUUGAUCACCUGGCUGAGGUAGUUCUUGUCAGGCUUCUCCACUGUCGAGUUGCUCUCCCCAUCCCCCUUUUCCAUAUUGUACUCUUUGAAAGAAAGUCACUAUAUGCAGCCCUUCCUUAAAAAUAUUAAAAUGAACUAGCUUAAUUAAGUUCUUUCUUACA
Molecule: long non-coding RNA, 946 nt
Filed under: Homo sapiens (human)
Lineage: Eukaryota; Metazoa; Chordata; Mammalia; Primates; Hominidae
Description: long independently transcribed non-coding RNA 3046, transcript variant 1 (LINC03046)
Source: RNAcentral